GGAUGCGAUCAUACCAGCACUAAAGCACCGCAUCCCAUCAGAACUCCGAAGUUAAGCAUGCUUGGGCGAGAGUAGUACUAGGAUGGGUGACCUCCUGGGAAGUCCUCGUGUUGCAUUCC
Molecule: ribosomal RNA, 119 nt
Filed under: Triticum turgidum subsp. durum (durum wheat)
Lineage: Eukaryota; Viridiplantae; Streptophyta; Magnoliopsida; Poales; Poaceae
Also listed under: 1 other name
Source: RNAcentral